UUAGACUAACCAGUUUCUA
This 19-nucleotide small nuclear RNA is filed under the name Arabidopsis thaliana (thale cress). Its description in RNAcentral is "snRNA_05386". The record is from RNAcentral. Lineage: Eukaryota; Viridiplantae; Streptophyta; Magnoliopsida; Brassicales; Brassicaceae.